Pangasius djambal is the source of this 72-nucleotide non-coding RNA. The record is from the annotation of a GenBank genome assembly. NCBI's taxonomy places the organism in Eukaryota, Metazoa, Chordata, Actinopteri, Siluriformes, Pangasiidae.
UACCUUGAGGACUAGUGGUUAGGCCACAGUGCACUCACUGCUGCAGCCUGGGUUCAAUCCCUGGCCAGGGAA